AGGACGAACGCUGGCGCGGUGCUAACGACGAUGCAAGUCGAACGGACCUUCGGGUAGCCAGUGGCAAACGGGUGAGUAACACGUGGGAACGCGCCUUUGGGUGGGGAAUAACGCUGAGAAAUCAGUGCUAAUACCGCAUAUGGUCUAACGACUAAAGCAGCAAUGCGCCCGGAGAGCGGCCCGCGACCGAUUAGCUAGUUGGUGGGGUAAUGGCCUACCAAGGCAGUGAUCGGUAGCUGGUCUGAGAGGAUGGUCAGCCACACUGGGACUGCGAACGGCCCAGACUCCUACGGGAGGCAGCAGUUAGGAAUUUUCGGCAAUGGACGAAAGUCUGACCGAGCGACGCCGCGUGGAGGAUGACGCCUUUCGGGGUGUAAACUCCUUUUCUGCGGGAAGAUAAUGACGGUACCGCAGGAAUAAGCACCGGCUAACUACGCGCCAGCAGCCGC
RNAcentral lists this ribosomal RNA (449 nucleotides) under uncultured bacterium. Its description in RNAcentral is "SSU rRNA". It matches the Rfam family "Bacterial small subunit ribosomal RNA", at positions 26 to 518 of the family's 1533-position model. The record is from RNAcentral.